This 66-nucleotide transfer RNA is filed under the name Agonostomus monticola (mountain mullet). RNAcentral describes it as "tRNA-Cys". The record is from RNAcentral. Lineage: Eukaryota; Metazoa; Chordata; Actinopteri; Mugiliformes; Mugilidae.
AGCCUUGGAGUGUUAUCAUGUAGGAUUGCAAAUCUUAAGAAGCAAGUUAGCAGCUUGCCGGGGCUU